This 109-nucleotide ribosomal RNA is filed under the name uncultured eukaryote. Its description in RNAcentral is "partial small subunit ribosomal RNA". It matches the Rfam family "Bacterial small subunit ribosomal RNA", at positions 1419 to 1525 of the family's 1533-position model. The record is from RNAcentral.
ACUAGAAGUCGCUGAGCUGACCCGCAAGGGAGGCAGGCGCCCACGGUAUGGUCGGUGAUUAAGGUGAAGUCGUAACAAGGUAGCUGUAGGUGAACCUGCAGAAGGAUCA